Molecule: ribosomal RNA, 347 nt
Filed under: uncultured bacterium
Lineage: Bacteria
Description: bacterial SSU rRNA
Rfam family: Bacterial small subunit ribosomal RNA
Source: RNAcentral
GGACCCGCACAAGUAGUGGAGCAUGUGGUUUAAUCGAAGAUACGCGCAGAACCUUACCAACACUUGACAUGUUCGUCGCGACUUUAAGAGAUUAAAGUUUUCGGUUCGGCCGGACGAAACACAGGUGCUGCAUGGCUGUCGUCAGCUCGUGUCGUGAGAUGUUGGUUAAGUCCGCAACGAGCGCAACCUCACUUUUAGUUGCCAUCAUUAAGUUGGGCACUCUGAAAGAACUGCCAGUGAUAAGCUGGAGGAAGGUGGGGAUGACGUCAAGUCCUCAUGGCCCUUACGUGUUGGGCUACACACGUGCUACAAUGGUAUCUACAACAGGAGGCAAAAACCGCGAGGUU